Molecule: ribosomal RNA, 314 nt
Filed under: uncultured bacterium
Lineage: Bacteria
Description: partial 16S ribosomal RNA
Rfam family: Bacterial small subunit ribosomal RNA
Source: RNAcentral
AUACGUAGGGGGCGAGCGUUGUCCGGAAUGAUUGGGCGUAAAGGGCGCGUAGGCGGCGCGGCAAGUCUGGAGUGAAAGUCCUGCUUUCAAGGUGGGAAUUGCUUUGGAUACUGCCGCGCUUGAGUGCAGGAGAGGUUAUCGGAAUUCCCGGUGUAGCGGUGAAAUGCGUAGAGAUCGGGAGGAACACCAGUGGCGAAGGCGGGUAACUGGACUGCAACUGACGCUGAGGCGCGAAAGUGUGGGGAGCAAACAGGAUUAGAUACCCUGGUAGUCCACACUGUAAACGAUGAAUGCUAGGUAUAAGAGGUAUCGAC